GAUUAACGCUGGCGGCGUGCCUAACACAUGCAAGUCGAGCGGCAGCGAGUUUUACACUGAAUUCUGGAAGCUUCUAGUUGAAAGAGAAGAUUUAUUCAAGAAUUUUGUGUAAAAUGUCGGCGAGCGGCGGACGGCUGAGUAACGCGUGGGAACGUACCCCAAAGUGAGGGAUAACGCACCGAAAGGUGUGCUAAUACCGCAUAUGGUCUUCGGAUUAAAGCCUUCGGGCGCUUUGGGAACGGCCUGCGUAAGAUUAGAUAGUUGGUGGGGUAAUGGCCUACCAAGUCGACGAUCUUUAACUGGUUUGAGAGGAUGAUCAGUCAGACUGGAACUGAGACACGGUCCAGACUCCUACGGGAGGCAGCAGUGAGGAAUCUUCCACAAUGGGCGAAAGCCUGAUGGAGCAACGCCGCGUGCAGGAUGAAGGCCUUCGGGUUGUAAACUGCUUUUAUAAGUGAGGAUUAUGACAGUAACUUAUGAAUAAGGAUCGGCUAACUACGUG
RNAcentral lists this ribosomal RNA (502 nucleotides) under uncultured bacterium. Its description in RNAcentral is "partial 16S ribosomal RNA". It matches the Rfam family "Bacterial small subunit ribosomal RNA", at positions 28 to 507 of the family's 1533-position model. The record is from RNAcentral.